Molecule: long non-coding RNA, 4530 nt
Organism: Glycine soja
Lineage: Eukaryota; Viridiplantae; Streptophyta; Magnoliopsida; Fabales; Fabaceae
Exons: 4
Source: RefSeq, a predicted model, not a curated record
UUUACAAAGUCUUGUCUGUUUUUGUAAUCUGAAAGUUUGUAUAUCAGUUGAUUGCGUUGUCCAGCACAACUUACUCUUGCAAGAAUAGUAAUUCAUUCCCAUUUGCAACCCUCGCAGAGAAGAAGUGUGUAAAGAAUCGAGGGGAUAAAAUAUCCAAGAGAUCUUCAUCAAUGGGCAUCGGGAAACAAACAAACCAAACAAGUGACUUUGAUACCACCUUCAAUCCAAAACCUUAAACACCUUCACACUUGAAUUAAAACACAUUGCUAUGACAAAACAGGGUAUGCCAUCAUCGUGUCCUGCAAAGUACAUGUUUUUGUUAGCUCCAGGGUGUGAGGACGUCCACACCACCUUCAUUCCGCUCUCUCCCGAGACAACAUCAAAACAUUCGUGAAUGACGACAACCUUGAUAAAGGAGACGAGGUUGGGCCGUCAUUGUCCGAAGCAAUCCACCACUCACAACUUGCAAUUGUGGUUUUCUCGGAAAGCUAUGUUGAUUCAUAGUGGUGCUUGAAUGAGCUGGUGGAAAUACUGCAGUGCAGAAAAACUAAGGGAAUGACUUAUGUCUACUAAGAGCUUUAACUCAAAUGGUUGAGCACAACGUGUGAGUUGUUGUAAGUUACCUGUCUUCAAUUUUUAUGGGUAUUUUUUUUUUUUUUUUACUUAUGUCUUUAUUAUUCUUUGCCUCAUGCUUUCUGUGACACGGCCACGUGGCAAUUGCAGAUAUUUUGAAUUUCGAUCUAUUCUGUAUCUUCCACAGCUUAGCUUAUGCAGUUUGACAACUCAUUUGGUUUGGAAGUGAAUGUUGAAAAAGAGUUUUCUUAUCCACUUGUCAUCAAAGAUGCUUCUAUGAUCAUUAUAAAUUCUAUUCCUGAAGGGUAUAUUGGUGCACUAGAUCAGGACUGAUUUAAUUUGCAACAAGGCCAUGUGGCCAUACAUUAAGACCGAUUCUGUAAGCACUGGGAUUGGAAAAUGCAGAACAGAUACAUUUAGAGUGUGUCUCGAUGAGAAAAUUUAAUUAAAUUUUUUUAUUUUUAAAAUUUUGUUUGGAUAAAAAAGUUUAAAAUUGUGAGACUGAAAGAAAAUUGAAUGCAAUGAGAAGAGCCAUGUGUCUCUGACAUAAAAAGAAAUGAGGUAUACUAUCCUUAGGUAAAAAAGAAUUCCGUAGCCUUAAUUGGAGGCGACAUAUACUAUCCUCGCCAGCCUCGCGGUCGCAAAUUUGCAAUUGAUUAGUCAAUGGUAGAAAGAAAUCUGAAUCAUUGGAACUAUUACUGUAAAAUAUAACAGAAAGAUCUGUAGAAUAUUUGGAGUAUUCAUUUGUGAAGUGAGGGUCACAGUUGAUUGCUUUGUCCGCUAUACUACAACUAUACUAGUACUCUUGUAUCAAUAGUAAUUCCAAUUUGCAACCCUCCCAGUUCCAGAGAAGAAGUACAAUGGUGAAACACGGCAUGUCAUCAUCAUGUCCUAGGAAGUACGAUGUGCCAAGCAAUCCAGGACUCGCAGUUUGCCAUCGUGGUUUUCUCCGAAAACUAUGCUGACUCAAAAUGGUGCUUGAAAGAACUGGUGCAAAUACUGCACUGCAGAAAAACUCAGGGAUUGGUAGUCACACCCGUCUUCUACCAAGUAGAUCCAUCGCACAUAAGGAAGUGUAGUGGCAGUUACGGUGAAGCAAUCGCAAAACACAAAGACAACGAAUCCUUCCAAGACUGGAAAGCUGCUCUCGCUGAAGCUGCCAAUAUAUCUGGAUGGGCCUCUCUUAGCCGUCAUUACAAGAAUGAGUCUCAACUAAUAGAGAAAAUUGUGCUAGAUGUGUCCGAGAAGUUGAGCCUGAGGUCCCCUUUUAAACUAAAUGUAGAAGACUAUGUUCAAAUUGAAAAAAAAAAUUGUGAAGAAGUCAAACUGUUGCUGUCCAAAAGCCAAGAUCGGUUACACGAAAAUGUUCACGUAAUUGGAAUUUGGGGCAUGGGAGGGAUUGGAAAGACAACUAUUGCCAAAGCCGUAUUUUCUCAACUCUUUCCGCAAUAUGAUGCUGUCUAGAGAGGAAUCUGAAAGGAUGCCACUAACAUCUUUGUGCGAUAAGCUUCUUUCUAAGUUACUUAAGGCAGGUUAUCAUGAAUAUAAUCUUGCAGGAUCCACAGACCUUAUGAGAAGGUUCCGUGAUAAAAAAGUUUUGAUUGUACUUGAUGAUGUGGAUAGUUUUGAUCAAUUAGAUAAGUUGUGUGAAGCAUGUAACUAUGUAGGUCCAGAUAGUAAACUUAUUAUAACAACAAGAGAUAGGCAUUUGCUUAGAAGAAGAGUUGGGGACAGACAUGUCUAUGAGGUCAAGGCAUGGAGCUUUGCCGAAUCUCUGGAGCUUUUUAGUUUACAUGCCUUCAAGGAAAGACAUCCUCAAAAGGGAUACAAGGUUCUCUCAAAAAGGGCAGUGAACUGUGCAAAGGGAGUUCCAUUAGCUUUAAAAGUUCUGGGUUCUAAUCUUUAUUCCAGAAGUACAGAAUUCUGGGACGAUGAAUUGAGCAAACUCGAGAACUAUCCGAAUGACAGUAUUCAAGAUGUGUUACAAGUGACCUAUAAUGGAUUGGAUGACCUAGAGAAGGAAAUAUUUCUACACAUUGCAUUCUUUUUCAAAGGUGAACAUAAAGAUGAUGUCAUACGAAUACUAGAUGCUUGUGAUAUCUAACCUACUAGGGGAUUAAAGGUCCUCGAAGAUAAAGCUCUUAUAACUAUUUCACAUUCUAGGAUGAUAGAAAUGCAUGACUUGAUAGAAGAAAUGGGUUUGAAUAUAGUUCGUCGAGGAAGUAAACAUCCCCGAAACCGUAGUCGAUUGAGUUAUAUAAAAGAAGUUUCUGAUGUACUUGCAAAUAAAAAGGGAAGUGAUUUAAUUGAAGGGAUAAAACUAGAUUUAUCAUCCAUUGAGGAUUUACACUUGAAUACUGACACACUCAACAUGAUGACUAAUUUAAGAGUUCUUAGAUUAUACGUCCCUUCAGGUAAGAGAUCAAGAAAUGUGCACCAUUCUGGUGUCUUAGUGAAUUGUCUGGUAAAUUGAGGUACCUCGAGUGGAAUGGAUUUCAUUUGAAGUCUCUUCCAGUAACUUUUUGUGCUAAGAUGCUUGUUGAGAUUUGAAUGCUGCACAGCCAACUUAUAGAACUUUGGCAGGGGGUGCAGGGUGUUGUAAAUUUAGUGCGAAUUGACUUACGUGAAUGCCAGCACUGGAAGAAUCUCCCAGAUUUGUCUAAGGCAUCAAAACUUAAUUGGGUGAAUCUUUCUGGUUGUGAAAGUUUGCGUGAUAUUCAUCCAUCUAUUUUUUCUUUUGACACACUUGAAACUUUGAUGCUGGAUGGCUGCAAAAAGCUUAAGGGUCUUAAAAGUGGGAAACAUUUAACAUCUUUGAGGAAGAUCAGUGUCAAUGGCUGCACUAGUCUCAAGGAAUUCUCCUUGUCAUCGGAUUCAAUCAGAAGCUUGGAUUUAAGCAGCACAAGAAUUGGAAUGAUAGACUCUAGAUUUGAGCGUCUAACAAGUCUUGAGUCACUCAAUGUACACGGUUUGAGAUAUGGUAAUAUUCCGGAUGAGUUAUUUUCCCUAAAAGAUCUUCAGGAGCUUAAGAUUUGUAAUUGUAGACUAGCAAUUGACAAACAGUUACAUGUGUUAUUUGAUGCUUCAACAUAUCUACGUCUACUACACUUGAAGGAUUGUUGUAACUUGUGGGAGCUUAGAGAAUUGUAGGGAGCUUGGGAGUCUAUCAAAGCUUCCACCAUUUGUUACAGAGUUUAAUGCCGUUAACUGCUGGUCAUUGAUUUCAGUGUCCUCUUUAAACUCUUCUGCAUUGAACUUGAAAGGGAAGGGAAAAUUCAUUUCAUUCAAGAAUUGUGGUUGGCUGGAUGAACCUUCUCUCCACUGCAUUAUGAAGGGUGUGUCAAAAUGAGAUUGUAAAAAUGAUAGAUGAAGCCAACACCAAAAAUUGUAAUAAUAAAUCUGUGAAGGUCUGUUUCCCGGGAAGCAAAGUCCCAAGCCAGUUCAAAUGUCAAUCAACAGACUCCUCAAUCACUGUUAAUCUUCCUUCUUACCUUAAUGAAUAUAUGGGAUUAACUUUGUGUGUGGUUCUUUCACGCUCCCGGGUUGCUGCUAAAAUCCGGUGCCAGUGUACUUGGUUUGGAGUUGAAAUCACCACAUGGUGCAACCUUAAUGAAGCUGAAUAAUCUGAUGAAAACAUUGAAAUGGUGACCAUUCUUACCCGAUUGUGUCUGGCCUGCCAAUUAUUUGAAUUAGAAAAAUUUCGGCGCAUUAGUUCACGGCUAUUGAAAGCCGUGGUAGCUGCUAUGGACUUGGAAUCAAAGCAUGGUUAAGCCUCAGAGGCAACUGAAACAUAUGACGAGAACGAUUGCAAUGACAUAAACACCAAUCAUGAGCCUGAAACAUAUGAGGAGAGCGAUUGCAGUGACAUAAACAACAAUCAUGAGCCAGAUUUGAGUGAACAUUGUUCUUGUUCUUGUGACUACUUAUUCAGUAUGGAGUUUACUACUUAAUAAUCCA